UGGCAUACGGUUGUUUCCAUAUGAACUGACUGUUUUUUUUUAAUACGGAUUGCAGUGUAGAAAAUGGUUGAGCUCUUUUAAAACAAAUAUAUUUUAUAAAACGGCUGUGCGAUCAAAAGACAACUAAAAGCAGGUCAGCACGUUUACCUGACGCCGCCAGAGCGUGGUCGUCCUGUCCCAAGCACCACCACCCCACUACCCCCGUGCUCCACUCCUGGGUGCGCGAAUCAAUUACAGCAACGUAACGCGAAAAUCGAUUUCGGCUGCGGGUGAAGGCAGAAUCAACAGAAAGUAUGUCCCACUGUGAUGUGGACACAAAAGUAGAGAUGAUAUCGCCAAGCCGGAUAGAAGGCGUAGCCAAUCGUCGCGGGGUGCACCCAUCCUGGCCGAAGGAGCACAGGCCGAGCAGUAUACUCCUCCUGACAGGAGUGGCACUGUGCUUCCUGACAUCUGGUUGCAAUGCCACAGACACGGACAUCGCUCUUGACGCCAAGGCCACACUCAAUCACCGCAUCCAGAGCUUGGACCUGCUCGUCUUUGUUUUUCUGCUAGCUCUCACAGUCCUCACCAUCUGGCUGUUCAAGCAUCAUCGUGUCUCCUGGCUCCACGAGACCGGACUGGCAGUCAUCUAUGGCUUGAUUGUAGGAGCAAUUAUACGGUAUGCCGGGACCUCCGCCACCCUUGUCCACAUGCAGGUGGAGCCCGAAGGUGUUCCGACGUACAGCGAUAAGUUGCCGCCCGAUACGCUUUGGUUUAAGUACCCCGUUAACCAAACAAACGGAACAAAGCUGCCGGAGGGAAUUAAGACAUAUGCCUAUGUAUUUCGAGGUCAGGUCCACGAUGUGGAUGAAAACGAAAUCGAUCUUAAAGCAACCUUUGAUCCUGAGGUGUUUUUUAAUAUUAUCCUACCGCCAAUCAUCUUUUACGCGGGAUACAGCUUGAAAAAGAAAUACUUCUUCCGCAAUCUGGGUGCCAUCCUUACCUUUGCUAUUGUGGGCACAACUUUGUCGGCUUUCCUGAUCGGCGGCUUCAUGUACGGCUGUGUGAAACUGAUGCCAAAGUACUUGAGCAGCAGUUUCACAUUCCUGGACACUCUAUACUUUGGAGCCCUGAUAUCGCCCACAGAUCCGCUCACCAUUCUAGCCAUAUUUAACGAUCUGCGGGUCGACGUAAACCUAUAUGCGCUAGUCUUGGGCGAAUCUGUGCUGAACGAUGCCGUGGCUAUAGUUCUGAGUGGAGCAAUUCAAAACUAUGGAGAACAUUAUUCCAAUACAGGGGAAUUCGAAACUACAGCUUUUUUGCGCUCUUUAAGCGAUUUCUUUUCCAUCUUUCUACUGUCCCUGAUGAUUGGAGCUGCAAUGGGCUGCUUGACAGCAUUGAUGACCAAGUUUACUAGGGUUCGUGACUUCCCCCUACUGGAGUCGGCGCUAUUUGUGCUGAUGAGCUACAGCACCUUCCUGCUGGCUGAGGCUACUGAACUAACGGGAGUGGUGGCCGUGCUCUUCUGUGGCAUCUGCCAAGCCCACUACACCUACAACAAUCUGUCGGAGGACUCGCGGCAAAGAACAAAACAAAUUUUUGAACUGCUUAAUUUUCUGGCCGAAAACUUCAUCUUUUCCUAUAUUGGCGUGUCCAUGUUUACGUUUCCCAAGCAUCACUUCGAUGCUGGAUUCAUUAUUACAGCUUUCAUCUGCGCUGCAAUAGGACGGGCCGUAAAUGUGUAUCCCUUAUCCUGGUUGCUGAAUAUUAAGCGAAAACCAAAAAUCUCUUCUAACUUUCAGCACAUGCUGUUCUUUGCUGGGCUUCGCGGUGCCAUGUCCUUUGCCUUGGCCAUCCGAAACACAGUAUCGGAUGCCCGUCAGACUAUGCUGACUGCCACAUCGCUAAUUGUUAUCUUUACUGUUGUAAUUCAGGGUGGGGCAGCAAAUUUUCUGCUAAAUUGGCUAAAAAUACCUGUUGGCGUUGACGAUGAGACUGAACAAUUAAAUAAUUACCAAGUGCACAGUGUUUACAAUUCAAUGGACAAUUCACACCCACAGACGUCUGAUGGGUAUUUGCAGGAUGUGGAGAACGGAGGAGGUGGUCGAGGCAAAAUGAGAUUGUCUGGCGGAACGGAGUCUAACUUGGACACGCCAGCGGAUGGGCCGAAUGGCAGCUUGGGCGGCACAAGCGGCGGUCGACGUCGUAACAGUCAUGAGAAGGCCAUUUUGGCUAGAAUUUGGGGGAACUUUGAUACCAAGUACAUGAAGCCUUUGCUGACGCAUUCGCGACCUACUCUUUUGGAGACGCUGCCGGUUUGCUGCAAUCCCAUUGCCAGGCUGCUUACUACCACGCAGCAGUUAACGCAGGAUGGGAGCGAGUUUAGGCGCGUCGACUCGGACUCGGAUAUUUGCAUAGACAACGAUACCGGGAACGGCCUCAGUCAGGAUGUAGGUCCCGGAACGGGUCCGGGUGCAGGUGUGGGGCGGCGAAACUCCCUGAGUCGCACUGUCCAAUUAAAUGAAGCCAAUCACCUUGCAAAUGAGCUCAGCCUGGUUACUAAUAAUUUCAUGUAAUCAUUUCUAUGGAGUAUCAAGAGAUUGAGCCAGUUUCUUGUAUAUUUUUGAUUAAUUUACUAUUUAUAAUAUUUUUGUUUGUUUUUGUCUACUUUUCCUUGGUGAAACCAAAUGUUAUAAAACGAAGCACAGACGGAAACCCAGACAUGAUAAACAAAUCCAGAGUCAGUUAGUCCAGUCAGUGAAUGUGAAUUUAUUAACCGAUUAACUGAUUAACUAAAGCUUCUUAAGGCACAGCAGUUAAAAAUGUUCGUUUGUAUUGUUCACUUUUAAUUUCUGUAUUUUUCCUCAUAAUCUAAUUUCUUAGAUUCUAACACGCGACUAACCAUGUUAGAGGCGAGCAUCGAAACGUUUACACAUAAGUUUAUUUAAUUUUUAUUUUUCCGUUGUUAUUUAUUUUAAUUGGUCUCAUUUAAAAUGAAAUAUGUGAAAGCUGUACAAAUUAGAUUAUUAUUCCUCAGUUUCUCCUUGUUUACGAUUGUGAUUCGGAACUCUAGUUAUAAACAUUAAAUAUCAAGCUUAUCAGAUAAUUUAAAAUCCGUAAGGGCACUAAAGUUGAAAAAGGCUUUUAUCGAGCUGACACACAAGAAUACCAUACCUUAUAACACGAUCAAUUACAUGCUUAUAUAGCCUCUAUGAUUCUAUUAUUUUAAAUUCCUUGCGCCUUUGCAAUAUACUAGUUUACCCAAAAUAUACAAGUAUAUAUGAAUAAAGCCUAAUGGCUAAAUUUAUGCUCCACUGAAAAUGAAUACGAUUACUUAUAGACAUAUUUCCUUUCUCUUAUUUACUUGACGUCGAAAAAUAUGCAAACAAUUUAAUAUUAUUCGCCUGAAACCGCUAAUAAAAAUGUAUUCAGAUGGAGAUUCUGGAGCAUGUUCAAAGUCCGGUGUCGACGAGAAUCAGACUCUUAGGAUUUUAUGGGAAAAAGUUAUAGAACGCAAGGCAUAAAUAAUCAUAUUUAAUUUUUGAUGUAUUUUACACAAUAUAAACGUAUAGCUUUUUCGUUUUAAGAAAGUUAGUGUAAAUAUAUCGUUUUGAAACCAGCUAAAUGUAUUCGGUUUAAUUUUAAAAUUUUAAAUAGCGAUCGUUUCGUUGAUCUACUUAUUUGUUUCGUAAUACCUAAGACACAAUUUCUUACUACAUACAUACGCUGUAUUUAAAUCAAAGCGAAGCUCUCUGAAAAUAUUAAUUGUUGUGCUGUUAAUUUAAGUCUAAACAUGAAUAAAUUAAAUAUAAAAGUAAAA
Molecule: RNA transcript, 3799 nt
Organism: Drosophila eugracilis
Lineage: Eukaryota; Metazoa; Arthropoda; Insecta; Diptera; Drosophilidae
Gene: Nhe3
Gene name: sodium/hydrogen exchanger 6
Exons: 15
Source: RefSeq, a predicted model, not a curated record